CUUCUGGAGCUGCUGCUUGAAGCAACUAGUUGGCUUUGUCCUUGGGGAAACCUGUCGAGCCUUUCUGUCUCAUUAUCUCUCAGAGUUUUCUCCUAAUGGAAUAGGACGAUGGACCUUAAUGGUUUAUCCUUCUUUCCCCAUCCCCUCUCCUCAGAGAGUGCUUCUUGAAUUAAAAACAGUUCGAGUUCUGUCAGAAAACGUCUCGUUCCUGUUCCUGGAUGAACUAAAGACUCUGCCUGGAAAAGAACUAAGCUGCAAUAUACACACACCUGACUGCACAGCUGCUGAAGAGGAGAACUUCUGUUUAAUCUGUUUUAAAUAAUAGACAGGUGGAGUCUUACUCUGUAAUCCAGGCUGGAGUGCAAUGAUGUGAUCUCAGCUCACUGCAACCUCUACCUCCCAGGUUCAAGCAAUUCUCCUGCCUCAGUCUCCCAAGUAGAUGGAAUUACAGGUGUGUGCCACCACAACCGGCUAAUUUUUUUUAUUUUUAGUAGAGGUGGGGUUUCACUAUGUUGGCCAGGCUGGUUUCGAACUCCUGACCUCAUGUGAUCCACCCGCCUCAGCCUCCCAAAGUGCUGGGAUUACAGGCGUGAGCCACUGCGCCCGGCCUAGUAAGCCCUUUUAAAGAACAGAACUGAAGUCUAUAUAUGUGUGUAUAUAUUUUAAAAUUACAUUAUUAGUUCAUAUUUACAUUUCCAAUCGAAAUUUUAGGAUUAUAAAGUUUUAAUGUAUUUAUUUGAUUCUAUCUUUUUUUUUCUCAAGUGAAAAAUCCUGGUUCCUAACAGCAUGCACAUAAUUAUUUACUUGAUUUCUCUUAUAUAUUAUAUAACAGCUUGGCCAGGCAUGAUGGCUCAUUCCUGUAAUCACAGCACUUUAGGAGGCCAAGGCAGGAGGAUCACUUGAGCCCAGGAGUUCGAGACCAGCCUGGGCAACAUAGCAAAACCCUGUCUCUAUUUUAACAAAGUAAUAGUUUCAGAAUAGCAAUGUCAAUAGUAUUAGUAGAAAUUUGAAUGCUAAAAAAACAGUUUAAGACUUUCUGCUUGUUUGAUUUUAUGGUACAUACUACCAGGGAUGUAACCUCAGAUUACUGUAUUUUAAAGUUAAUUAAAAUACUUCCUCCGUCUGAGCUUAUGCCACCAACUCGUGGAACAGUUAGGUUUAUUCGUUUCAUUUUGCCUUGCUUUAUAAAGAUAGCUUUUAAAAGCAAUUGUGUUAUAAUUGUUUAUAGUAGUACUGUAUCGUGUAACAACUACAUUCUAUAGGGUCACCCUUGUAUCCAUCAUGUAAUGAUUGUUAUACAGGUAAAUAUAUAUAUUCAACGCCCACCUGAUCCUUAUGCCAAUUCCUCUUCGGUCAUUUGUUUGUCUUUUUCUAGUAGGUUCCUUAGGAAGGGCACAGAGAACAAUACUCCAUGAGUUCUGGCAUAUUCUUAACAGUUUGUGCAUGACUUUAAACUUGACUGGGUAUAAAAUUCUUGCCUACAUUUUCUUUUCUUUUUUUUUUUUUUUUUUUGGAAGGGAGCUUUGCUCUUGUUGCCCUGGCUGGAGUGCAGUGGUGUGAUCUCAGCUCUCUGCAACCUCCGCCUCCUGGGUUCAAGCGAUUCUCCUGCCUCGGCCUUCCGAGUAGUGGGAUUACAGGUGCGCGCCACCAUGCCUGGCUAAUUUUUUGUAUUUUUAGUUGGGACCGGGUUUCACCAUGUUGGCCAGGCUGGUCUCAAACUCCUGACCUCAGGUGAUCUGCCCGCCUUGGACCCCCAAAGUGCUAGGAUUACAGACGCGAGCCACCGCGCCCGGCCUUGACUACAUUUUCUUAACUGUUUGUAAUAUACUUUAUUCCAUUGCCCUAUGGUAUAAAAUGUUGCUGUUGAGAAAUCUGUCCGUCUUAGUCUCUUUCCCUAAUGAGUGGCUUGGUUGUUUCACUUUGAUGUCUAAAGAUUUCAUUUGGUUUUUCCCUUUUCUUUCAGUUCAAUAAAUUUACUUUAAAAAAAAGUCUCAUUUUGGCCACUAUCAAUGGAUUUUCCGAGGUACCUCAUGUGCCCGUUAAAGAUGUGGAUUCAGAUCUACUUGAUAUCAGUAACAUUUUUCUGAACUAUAGCUCCAGUUUGCAUUCAUUCCCCUUGCUUUGAGUUUCUUCUUUUGAGACUCUUAUUACAUGUAUGCUAAUAUAUAAGUAAUAAUCUAUUACUCCCUCUCCAAACCAUUUUCAAAAAUUUUAAAAAAUAUGUUUUUUAUUUUUGUAGAGACAGAAUCUUGCUAUGUUGCCCAGGCUGGUGUUGAACUGCUGGCCUCAACCAAUCCUCCUGCCUCGGCCUCUCAAAGUGCUGGGAUUACAGGUGUGAGGCACCACACCUGGCUUCUCCAGCCCUUAUCUUUUUUUAAAAUUUUGUUUUAAUUUCUUAUUUUCCUCUCAUUCUAUUUUCUCUUUUUUUCUUAUGAUGUUUAUUUGUCCUUAAGCUCAUCCUACUUUGGUCUUCAUUUCUGAAAUUAUUUUUUCUUUUACUCCUAGUUCUUUUUAAAAUUCUCUUAGCUCACAUUUCAAACUUUUCUUUUGUCCAAUCAUCUCAUUUUCUUUUUUUUUCCUCUUUUAAAAUAUUUUGAGACAGGGUCUCACUGUGUCACUCAGGCUGGAGUGCAGUGGUGCAAUCAUAGCUCAUUACAGCCUUGACCUCCUGGACUCCAGCGAUCCUCCCACUUCAGCCUCCUAAGUAGCCAGGAUUACGGUAGCACACCAUCAUGCCUGGCUAAUUUUAUUUUUUGUUUUUUGUAGAGACAGGGUCUUGCUAUGUUACCUAGGCUGGUUUUGGACUUUUAGUCUCAAGCAGUCCUGCUGUCUCAGCCUCCCUAAAUGCUAAGAUUACAGGCUCAUUUUCUAAUUCUGAUUUAUGGCAUUCUUCCAUAGCUACAAUCAUUUUCUGAAAUUCUCUAAGCUCAUUUGGAAAUGUUGGACUAAUAUUUUUAUUAUUGUAAGUUCGUGUCUUUAUGACAUGAUUUCAUUAUCUAUAGGAAUAAUAUUCUCUGUCCACUUAAUCUUUUUUUUUAAAUUUACAUCAUAUGGGAUAUUCAAGCACAAUGACGCUUUAGCUCACGGCUUUCCUAUCCUCUUAGAGAGGAGGAUGCCGGGAAUAUCUUCCCUAGGGCCGGUGUUCUAGGGCUUCGUUUUCUGCUGUUACUGUGCUGCAUUGAGAUCUAUGAACUGAGAUCCAAACAUGGACUUAGAUCUGAACACACCACAUUCUGAGACGUGUUCCCUUUCCAGCUCGGUGUGGCUAUCCUCUUUCUUAAGUUUUGGUGUCCCUGUUCUGUUCUGUUUCCAUUCAAUGCCUGGCAGUCUCUCCUCAGUAUGGGGAUUUGUCCUACUUUAUGAAAGUGGCGUUGAGCAUUUCGGUGCAUAAAUAUUAACCGUUUUCUCUUCCUUGUGUAUUUUAACUUCUAGAAUUACAAACACUUUUUUUUUUUUUUUUUUUUUUUGGUGACAGAGUCUCACUCUGUUGCCCAGGCCGGAGUGCAGUGGUGUGAUCUUGGCUCACUGCAACCUCUGCCUCCUGGGUUCAAGCAAUUCUUCUGCCUCAGCCUCCCAAGUAGCUGGGAUUACAGGCACGCGCCGCUAUGGCUGGCUAAUUUUUGCAUUUUAGUAGAGGCGGGGUUGCACCAUGUUGGUCAGGCUGGUCUCAAACUCCUGACCUUGUGAACCGCCCACCUCUGCCUCCCAAAGUGUUGGGAUUAUAUGCGUGAGCCACUGCGCCCGGCCAAGACUUCUCUCUUUUUAAACACAUUUUCGUCGGAGCAAUCACAGAGUUUGCAGGAGAUCUGGAGCCUGCAAAGUCACCCCCUUCCCCCACCAACAGUUUUGGCUGCUCUUGUCAGAUUGACCUGAUGGUCUGAGAGUGGACUCAUCCCCUGGGGAAUGGAUGGCUUCCAUGCUGACAGUGGACUCUUCCCUUUGGGAACGGGUACUCCAGCCAAGAGUGGAGUUUUCCUUUUGGGAAUGGGUACCUUCCAUGAUGAGAGUUUACUCUUCCCUUUGGAAAUGGUAUUUUUCCAGGCUGAGAGUUUACGCUUCCCUUUGGAAAUGGUAUUUUUCCAUGCCGAGAGUGUCUCUUCCCUUUGGGAAUGGGUAGCUUCCAUGUGGAGAACAGACUUUUCCUUUUGGGAGUGGUUGCCUGUUGCUAAUUUGCUUUCUAGGCUGUUUUUUGGAAGUCGUUUUUCUUUCUUCUGUUUCUUCCUACGGCCGUUACCAUACAUAUCUUAUUGCUGUUAGUGGUUUGACCCCUCCUCCUCAUGGGAAUAUCUUAUCACUUUUGUUGUAGACGUCCACAAGAUUUUGCUUUGCUGUAUCAGUGGUUCUGUCUAUUUUUGUAGGGGGACUGGGGGAGAUUAAAACGUUUUAGCUGCUGCUGCUAUUUAUUUGCCUAUGGGUAAUUUUGGAGCAAAUGUGGCACUGUAGACAUUUUGAAGCAUGUUAAACCCAAGGUGAUGUUUUAUAUGUUUUCUUUAUAAUAAUAUUAUCCUUUUCCUCUUCUUAAACCUGUCAGAUAAUAAACAUAAUACUGAUGGAAAAUACAAUAAAAAUCAUUGAACAGGACCUGUAAAAUCUCAGAGAUCCCAGGAGAGAAUGCUGUUUUGUCUGUUUGUAACAUUAUGGAAUAAAUCAUUCCAAUCCCCUUCAAAAU
RNAcentral lists this long non-coding RNA (4669 nucleotides) under Homo sapiens (human). RNAcentral describes it as "non-protein coding lnc-ST8SIA6-2:7". Lineage: Eukaryota; Metazoa; Chordata; Mammalia; Primates; Hominidae. The record is from RNAcentral.